RNAcentral lists this ribosomal RNA (508 nucleotides) under Bacillus cereus. Its description in RNAcentral is "bacterial SSU rRNA". It matches the Rfam family "Bacterial small subunit ribosomal RNA", at positions 371 to 871 of the family's 1533-position model. The record is from RNAcentral. Lineage: Bacteria; Bacillati; Bacillota; Bacilli; Caryophanales; Bacillaceae.
CCUGAUAGAGUCUGACGGAGCACGCCGCGUGAGUGAUGAAGGCUUUCGGGUCGUAAAACUCUGUUGUUAGGGAAGAACAAGUGCUAGUUGAAUAAGCUGGCACCUUGACGGUACCUAACCAGAAAGCCACGGCUAACUACGUGCCAGCAGCCGCGGUAAUACGUAGGUGGCAAGCGUUAUCCGGAAUUAUUGGGCGUAAAGCGCGCGCAGGUGGUUUCUUAAGUCUGAUGUGAAAGCCCACGGCUCAACCGUGGAGGGUCAUUGGAAACUGGGAGACUUGAGUGCAGAAGAGGAAAGUGGAAUUCCAUGUGUAGCGGUGAAAUGCGUAGAGAUAUGGAGGAACACCAGUGGCGAAGGCGACUUUCUGGUCUGUAACUGACACUGAGGCGCGAAAGCGUGGGGAGCAAACAGGAUUAGAUACCCUGGUAGUCCACGCCGUAAACGAUGAGUGCUAAGUGUUAGAGGGUUUCCGCCCUUUAGUGCUGAAGUUAACGCAUUAAGCACUCCG